RNAcentral lists this long non-coding RNA (436 nucleotides) under Equus asinus (donkey). Its description in RNAcentral is "lncRNA (ENSEASG00005025008.1)". Lineage: Eukaryota; Metazoa; Chordata; Mammalia; Perissodactyla; Equidae. The record is from RNAcentral.
CCACCAAUCCCGUGUUGGAGGAAAGGCUAUAAAAGGGAUUCACUCACCUCAUUAGAGAAUUAUAGUCCAGUGAUAUUAAAAUGACGGUGGUCUAAAAUGCCAAUUACUCAUUAUUUCUUGCAAAUCUUCUGUCUCACAAAUCAAAUUUGGGUUUGCCAAUUAGGUUUUACUUAGCUUCCUCUGGUGUGAUGAAAGACAGCUUCUACUGUGACCAGCUGCCUAUGGAGGAUGAAAAGCCUGGAAAGCCAAGAAUAAAUUAGCUUUUGACCAAUGAAACAAUAUACACUGCGAAAUGUAAAUCAGUGAGGAGGCUGGGCUAAGUUUCCAGAGAUUUUGAGGUGGUGGUUUGCCCCGUGACCUGAAUUCUCUCACGGGUCUAAGAAAAGUCGUUGGUUUUCAGUUUGUUCAGCUUUUUUCUUGUUGUAAGGACCAGAGA